This 466-nucleotide ribosomal RNA is filed under the name Vreelandella stevensii. RNAcentral's name for it is "partial 16S ribosomal RNA". It matches the Rfam family "Bacterial small subunit ribosomal RNA", at positions 338 to 795 of the family's 1533-position model. The record is from RNAcentral. Lineage: Bacteria; Pseudomonadati; Pseudomonadota; Gammaproteobacteria; Oceanospirillales; Halomonadaceae.
UCUACGGGAGGCAGCAGUGGGGAAUAUUGGACAAUGGGCGAAAGCCUGAUCCAGCCAUGCCGCGUGUGUGAAGAAGGCCUUCGGGUUGUAAAGCACUUUCAGUGGGGAAGAAAGCCUUGGGGCUAAUACCCUCGAGGAAGGACAUCACCCACAGAAGAAGCACCGGCUAACUCCGUGCCAGCAGCCGCGGUAAUACGGAGGGUGCGAGCGUUAAUCGGAAUAACUGGGCGUAAAGCGCGCGUAGGCGGUCUGAUAAGCCGGUUGUGAAAGCCCCGGGCUCAACCUGGGAACGGCAUCCGGAACUGUCAGGCUAGAGUGCAGGAGAGGAAGGUAGAAUUCCCGGUGUAGCGGUGAAAUGCGUAGAGAUCGGGAGGAAUACCAGUGGCGAAGGCGGCCUUCUGGACUGACACUGACGCUGAGGUGCGAAAGCGUGGGUAGCAAACAGGAUUAGAUAACCCUAGUAGUC